UACAGAGGUCUCAAGCGUUGUCCGGAAUCAUUGGGCGUAAAGCGAGCGUAGGCGGCCCGAUAAGUCUGCUGUAAAAGUCAACGGCUCAACCGUUGAAAGCCGGUGGAUACUGUCGGGCUAGAGUUCGGAAGAGGCAAGUGGAAUUCCUGGUGUAGCGGUGGAAUGCGCAGAUAUCAGGAGGAACACCUAUAGCGAAGGCAGCUUGCUGGGACGAUACUGACGCUAAGGCUCGAAAGCGUGGGGAGCGAACAGG
This 253-nucleotide ribosomal RNA is filed under the name uncultured bacterium. RNAcentral's name for it is "partial 16S ribosomal RNA". It matches the Rfam family "Bacterial small subunit ribosomal RNA", at positions 524 to 776 of the family's 1533-position model. The record is from RNAcentral.